Molecule: RNase P RNA, 356 nt
Filed under: Lachnospiraceae bacterium
Lineage: Bacteria; Bacillati; Bacillota; Clostridia; Lachnospirales; Lachnospiraceae
Description: RNase P RNA component class A
Rfam family: Bacterial RNase P class A
About the family: Ribonuclease P (RNase P) is a ubiquitous endoribonuclease, found in archaea, bacteria and eukarya as well as chloroplasts and mitochondria. Its best characterised activity is the generation of mature 5'-ends of tRNAs by cleaving the 5'-leader elements of precursor-tRNAs.
Source: RNAcentral
AUGGCAGGACAUGCAGUCGCGGCUGACAAUACCGAAAGGUGUCAGGCGAGGAAAGUCCGGGCUUCACAGGGCAGGAUGCCGGAUAACGUCCGGCGGAGGCAACUCCCGGGAAAGCGCAACAGAAAACAACCGCCUGGUCUCUUCGGAGAUCGGGUAAGGAUGAAAAGGCAGUGUAAGAGACUACCGCGUCUGUAGUAAUACAGACGGCAUAUGCAAGCCCCAUCCGAAGCAAGACCGAACAGAAGCGAUACGAUAGCCCGUCGUGCUUCAGGUAGGUCGCUCGAUCUUACCGGCGACGGUAAGGCUAGAUAGAUGACUGCACACGACAGAACCCGGCUUAUCGUUCUGCCAUUUUG